AGUCCUGUGGUGUAAUGGUAGCACAAGUGAUUCUGGUUCACUUUGUUGAGGUUCGAAUCCUUACAGGACUACCA
RNAcentral lists this transfer RNA (74 nucleotides) under Lentisphaeria bacterium. Its description in RNAcentral is "tRNA-Gln". It matches the Rfam family "tRNA". From Rfam's summary of the family: Transfer RNA (tRNA) molecules are approximately 80 nucleotides in length. Lineage: Bacteria; Pseudomonadati; Lentisphaerota; Lentisphaeria. The record is from RNAcentral.